Long non-coding RNA from Rhagoletis zephyria (snowberry fruit fly), 932 nucleotides. RefSeq lists it as uncharacterized. The record is from RefSeq and is a predicted model, not a curated record. Lineage: Eukaryota; Metazoa; Arthropoda; Insecta; Diptera; Tephritidae.
CACCUGACAUUAUCCGUUGUGACGACGACGCAGCCAGACGUGCCGUGCCGAGUUGGAGCCGUGAAGUAGCAGUUAGACGCUGAAGACGAACGAAAAGCGCUUUGGGGGUAAAAGCAAACGCGAUGCAGAUAAAAGUAAAGUGAAAAAAAGCUGACGAAUGGCGAACGAUAAAGUGUAGACAAUAAUAGGCGUAGAACGAAGAGGAAAGCGAGAAGUUGAAGUCAAAAGGAGAGAAGAAGAACAAAGUGAUUGUGAACAGAGAGAGAGAAUUAAAGAACAAAAUUGAAUUGUGGCUGGUUGGCAGCUGAAGCGAGUCUAUCGAGCGUAAGUAUAGCCUAAUUCGAGGCACAGCAAAAUUGACAAAAUAAAAACAUUGUAGUGAAGAAAGAGAAACAAUAAAAAAGUAUGAACACAUAAGUAAAAAAGACUUCAUCAAAACGCCUGUAUGUAUAAUUAUAAAGCAGUACAGUUAUUUAAAGUGAUAAAAAAAAAAAACACACAGAACAAGCCAGUGUAUUCGACGAUUAAAAUUCUAAAACUGUAACCACAACGAAUUGACGAAGUAAAAACAAGAUAAAACAAGUGCAAAAAUCAAAUUAAACAAAAACAACAAAAAAUAUUAUAAAACAGCUGUGAAAACGUUAAGUUGCUAUCCUAACCGAAAAGCAAGUCAGCCCGUUUAACAUAGCGCAGUAAACAUACUCACACAUUCAUAUGUACUUAAGUAUGCAUUCGAACGUACAUACGUAUAUAGUCCCGUUGCGAAAAUCCUCCUAAGUAAUCUCCGAUUUGUUAUGGCUACCCGUUUCAAGUACUCGAAUCCGCAUACAUAAACACCAGGUUUAUUCGUGACAACGUUACAUUUUUUAUAAGCCACGUCCACGCGUCUGCAUUUGGUGCCUUUGCGUUAUUGUUAUUAGUGCGUGCGUGUU